This 468-nucleotide ribosomal RNA is filed under the name uncultured bacterium. RNAcentral describes it as "partial 16S ribosomal RNA". It matches the Rfam family "Bacterial small subunit ribosomal RNA", at positions 28 to 507 of the family's 1533-position model. The record is from RNAcentral.
GACGAACGCUGGCGGCGUGCUUAACACAUGCAAGUCGAACGGAAAGGCCCUGCUUUCGUGGGGUGCCCGAGUGGCGAACGGGUGAGUAACACGUGAGUAACCUGCCCUUGACUUUGGGAUAACUUCAGGAAACUGGGGCUAAUACCGGAUAGGAGCUCCUGCUGCAUGGUGGGGGUUGGAAAGUUUCGGCGGUUGGGGAUGGACUCGCGGCUUAUCAGCUUGUUGGUGGGGUAGUGGCUUACCAAGGCUUGGACGGGUAGCCGGCCUGAGAGGGUGACCGGCCACAAUGGGACUGAGAUACGGCCCAGACUCCUACGGGAGGCAGCAGUGGGGAAUAUUGCACAAUGGGCGGAAGCCUGAUGCAGAAACGCCGCGUGCGGGAUGACGGCCUUCGGGUUGUAAACCGCUUUCGCCUGUGACGAAGCGUGAGUGACGGUAAUGGGUAAAGAAGCACCGGCUAACUACGUG